Molecule: transfer-messenger RNA, 373 nt
Filed under: Bacteroidia
Lineage: Bacteria; Pseudomonadati; Bacteroidota
Also listed under: 1 other name
Description: UBA9320 sp002746305 Standard tmRNA
Rfam family: transfer-messenger RNA
About the family: Bacterial tmRNA, also known as 10Sa RNA or SsrA, is named for its dual tRNA and mRNA-like properties. Its role is to liberate the mRNA from a stalled ribosome. To accomplish this part of the tmRNA is used as a reading frame that ends in a translation stop signal.
Source: RNAcentral
GGGGGUGUUCUGGCUUUUGACGGGUUGGCCAAUAGAUGUGUAAGCACGUAGAGCGUUGAAAGUGCGGCUCUUAAAUCUCGACUUUCAAACACAAACGGCGAUUCAAAUUUCGCUAUGGCUGCCUAGUCUUAGAGACUAAGCAAAUACCAUCCGUUUGCCUGAGUCUGGUCUCGGUUACGAGGGAGUUCAAACGGUCGAUAAACUGAGAUAAUUUUAGCCCAUUUCUACCAAGUUAAAAUUUAUAAUGUAGGAUAAGGAUUCGUUGGGUAAUUGUUGCACCUGACCUGUCUCGAAAAUCAAGCGACAAUAAACGUGUAGAAAACGCAAUUCUAUUCCAAUUCGGACCCGGGUUCGACUCCCGGCAUCUCCACUG